UAAUGCUGUUGGUUGAGGACGACGAAAAAGCAAGAAACGGGAGAUGAAAUCAGAGAAAGAUGCGCCGCCGGAAGAAAAAAACAGAGAAGGAUAUGGAAUGGAGUGGUAAAAAAUAGGGUUGAGGAUUGAAAUGCUCCUAAAUACUCGCUUUCCACAAUGCACCCUAUCGUCCGCUAAACAUUAGACCGCACUGUGUACUAUCACUUCCGGCGCGUCAGAAAUUACACGGAAAUGUCAGUUAUUUAGCACGGACGGUCGACAUUCAAACGGUGCAUUUGGACGGUUAGGAUGGAGAUCGCACAUAGUGCGCAUUUAAAGGCUCUCACCAGAAGCGUUCUG
RNAcentral lists this long non-coding RNA (339 nucleotides) under Zostera marina. RNAcentral describes it as "long non-coding RNA (ZMAR_LNC003634)". The record is from RNAcentral. Lineage: Eukaryota; Viridiplantae; Streptophyta; Magnoliopsida; Alismatales; Zosteraceae.